UCCCUAGUAGCUCAAUUGAUAUAGAAUCUGCCUGCAAUGCAGGAGACCUGGGUUCGAUCCCCGGGUUGGGAA
RNAcentral lists this transfer RNA (72 nucleotides) under Bos taurus (domestic cattle). It matches the Rfam family "tRNA". From Rfam's summary of the family: Transfer RNA (tRNA) molecules are approximately 80 nucleotides in length. Their secondary structure includes four short double-helical elements and three loops (D, anti-codon, and T loops). Further hydrogen bonds mediate the characteristic L-shaped molecular structure. tRNAs have two regions of fundamental functional importance: the anti-codon, which is responsible for specific mRNA codon recognition, and the 3' end, to which the tRNAs corresponding amino acid is attached (by aminoacyl-tRNA synthetases). tRNAs cope with the degeneracy of the genetic code in two manners: having more than one tRNA (with a specific anti-codon) for a particular amino acid; and 'wobble' base-pairing, i.e. permitting non-standard base-pairing at the 3rd anti-codon position. RNAcentral also lists the same sequence under 2 other names. Lineage: Eukaryota; Metazoa; Chordata; Mammalia; Artiodactyla; Bovidae. The record is from Rfam by way of RNAcentral.